AUUGAACGCUGGCGGCAGGCCUAACACAUGCAAGUCGAGCGGAUGAAGGGAGCUUGCUCCUGGAUUCAGCGGCGGACGGGUGAGUAAUGCCUAGGAAUCUGCCUGGUAGUGGGGGAUAACGCCCGGAAACGGGCGCUAAUACCGCAUACGUCCUGAGGGAGAAAGUGGGGGAUCUUCGGACCUCACGCUAUCAGAUGAGCCUAGGUCGGAUUAGCUAGUUGGUGGGGUAAAGGCCUACCAAGGCGACGAUCCGUAACUGGUCUGAGAGGAUGAUCAGUCACACUGGAACUGAGACACGGUCCAGACUCCUACGGGAGGCAGCAGUGGGGAAUAUUGGACAAUGGGCGAAAGCCUGAUCCAGCCAUGCCGCGUGUGUGAAGAAGGUCUUCGGAUUGUAAAGCACUUUAAGUUGGGAGGAAGGGCAGUAAGUUAAUACCUUGCUGUUUUGACGUUACCAACAGAAUAAGCACCGGCUAACUUCGU
RNAcentral lists this ribosomal RNA (483 nucleotides) under uncultured bacterium. RNAcentral describes it as "partial 16S ribosomal RNA". It matches the Rfam family "Bacterial small subunit ribosomal RNA", at positions 30 to 506 of the family's 1533-position model. The record is from RNAcentral.